This 723-nucleotide long non-coding RNA is filed under the name Fukomys damarensis (Damara mole-rat). Its description in RNAcentral is "lncRNA (ENSFDAG00000021932.1)". Lineage: Eukaryota; Metazoa; Chordata; Mammalia; Rodentia; Bathyergidae. The record is from RNAcentral.
AGACAGGUCCAGAUGUCACUGGGGCUGCAGGCAUCUGAAAGCUGGAUGAGGACUCUGAUUCCCAGAUAUGGCGCUGGCAGGCGGCCUCUCGCCCCAGCAUGGGGAUCCUCCACAGGAUGCGAGACUUCCUCUAGGAAACCAUGUGGAACUCCUUGCCUGAUGCGUAGCUGAGGGCACCUGCUGAUCAAGCCCCCAGUGUGUUCCUUGUGCAUGGCUGGGAGUCCUGGCAAGCCAUGGUGAGGAUGAGCACUUUGGGGGUGAACCACAUGAAUGAGGACAGCAUCCCAGAAGAGUGGAGGUUCAAGACGAAAGAAACCCCAAGGUUUGCGGACCUCACGCAGCAAGAGCAUUUAUACCAGUUUUUCGACAACCGAACACACUGGCACAUGCAGUCGUGCUCAGCUUACACUGUGAGAAAAGCAGCCUUCCUCUGAGAGGGAGUCAGAAUGGAAAGGUGCCUGCCACACCCACAAGGAGGCUCUGACUCAAAUUUCCAGACCUCUCAGAGAAACUUCUGGAACUCAGGAUGGCCUGAAACUGAGACUAAGGGAGUGUUGAUCCAUUUAUUAAAUAUCAGGUAAGCCUUUCUUAAAUUUCUAGGUUAUUAAAAAGACUCAUAAUAUUUUUACACCUCAUCCAAAGGAUCGUAUUACUCAUUUCCUGUGGGAGACAAGAUAGAGGCACUUCUAUGGGAUAAGCUGAGAGAUGCCUGCCCCACCCGCA